This 461-nucleotide ribosomal RNA is filed under the name uncultured bacterium. Its description in RNAcentral is "SSU rRNA". It matches the Rfam family "Bacterial small subunit ribosomal RNA", at positions 26 to 518 of the family's 1533-position model. The record is from RNAcentral.
AGAACGAACGCUGGCGGCAUGCCUAACACAUGCAAGUCGAACGCUCUUGGGGCUUCGGUUCCAAGGGAGUGGCGCACGGGUGAGUAGCGCGUGGGAACCUGCCCUGGAGUGGGGGGAUAACCGAGGGAAACUUCGGCUAAUACCGCAUGCGCCCGGGAAACCGGGGAAAGAUUUAUCGCUCUAGGAGGGGCCCGCGUCGGAUUAGCUAGUUGGUGGGGUAACGGCCUACCAAGGCUUUGAUCCGUAGCUGGUCUGAGAGGAUGAUCAGCCACACUGGGACUGAGACACGGCCCAGACUCCUACGGGAGGCAGCAGUGGGGAAUAUUGGACAAUGGGCGAAAGCCUGAUCCAGCCAUGCCGCGUGAGUGAUGAAGGCCCUAGGGUUGUAAAGCUCUUUCGUCAGGGACGAUAAUGACGGUACCUGAAGAAGAAGCCCCGGCUAACUUCGCGCCAGCAGCCGC